AUGUUGACUCAUAAGCAGGUCGAUUGGGAACCAUAUGAUGCCGAUUAUGCUUUCCGGCUGAACGAGAUGUGCACACGUGACAGGAAUAUUUGGCGGGCGAGAUGCCCACUGAUAUGCUUCUAUGCUGUCGAGUGGCACUACCCAGACCGUGUCGCAAGACAAUUUGGGAGAAGGCAAGGGACACCAAGGGAUGAGAGUUUCGAGACAAGCCAAUUUCUGCAUCGAAUUAGUCGAAAGAAUAACCCGGAAACUUCGACUUGGGCCAUCAAGCACUCUGAGUGGAUAAGUCUGUGGAAUCAAAGAGUGGCCCUAGUGGAGAAGGAAAGAAGACAACAUAGUGAUUCAGUAUACGAAGAGCAUCUGAAGUGGCUUGCGAGACGUUACCGGUUGAAGCUAAAGCCCGGUUGGAACCGUUCGGAAUUGGAAGAGUUGGAUCGUGAGAGCGGGUAUAUGGACUUCAAUGUACAAACGAGAGACAACGAAGGGACACAACUUGACUAUGCACAACUACACGACCGAGUGGGCAUGGAGUUAUUGCAUUGUGUUAACGAGGCUGGUGUAGCACUUGGUGAAGAUGAGGGAAGUGGAUCAUCUGAGAAAUCUCUUAGGAAAAAAUGA
RNAcentral lists this ribosomal RNA (618 nucleotides) under Triticum aestivum (bread wheat). RNAcentral describes it as "partial small subunit ribosomal RNA". The record is from RNAcentral. Lineage: Eukaryota; Viridiplantae; Streptophyta; Magnoliopsida; Poales; Poaceae.